CUGGAAUGGUUCCUGACUAAAAUCUAUAUGGCCUCUGGAUUGGACUGCGGCCGAUCAGGCUGUUGGUGAGGUAAUGGCCCACCAAACCUGUAACCGGUACGGGCUCUGAGAGGAGGAGCCCGGAGAUGGGCACUGAGACAAGGGCCCAGGCCCUAUGGGGCGCAGCAGGCGCGAAACCUCUGCAAUAGGCGAAAGCCUGACAGGGUUACUCUGAGUGACUUUCGCUAAGAAAGUCUUUUGGCACCUCUAAAAAGGGUGCAGAAUAAGGGGUGGGCAAGUCUGGUGUCAGCCGCCGCGGUAAUACCAGCACCCCGAGUGGUCGGGACGUUUAUUGGGCCUAAAGCAUCCGUAGCCGGUUCUACAAGUCUUCCGUUAAAUCCACCUGCUUAACAGAUGGGCUGCGGAAGAUACUAUAGAGCUAGGAGGCGGGAGAGGCAAGCGGUACUCGAUGGGUAGGGGUAAAAUCCGUUGAUCCAUUGAAGACCACCAGUGGCGAAGGCGGCUUGCCAGAACGCGCUCGACGGUGAGGGAUGAAAGCUGGGGGAGCAAACCGGAUUAGAUACCCGGGUAGUCCCAGCUGUAAACGAUGCAGACUCGGUGAUGAGUUGGCUUAUUGCUAACUCAGUGCCGCAGGGAAGCCGUUAAGUUUGCCGCCUGGGGAGUACGGUCGCAAGACUGAAACUUAAAGGAAUUGGCGGGGGAGCACCACAAGGGGUGAAGCCUGCGGUUCAAUUGGACUCAACGCCGGU
Molecule: ribosomal RNA, 749 nt
Filed under: uncultured archaeon
Lineage: Archaea
Description: bacterial SSU rRNA
Rfam family: Archaeal small subunit ribosomal RNA
Source: RNAcentral